Molecule: long non-coding RNA, 200 nt
Organism: Etheostoma spectabile (orangethroat darter)
Lineage: Eukaryota; Metazoa; Chordata; Actinopteri; Perciformes; Percidae
Exons: 3
Source: RefSeq, a predicted model, not a curated record
GGGGAGUACAUAGUCAGAGCACCUCUGAUUGACAAUGGGAGUAAAGUAUUGUACACCCAGAUUGAUAUGCUGUAAAACAACCUCCUGCUGUACUCUCCUCCUCCAAUAUCACCUGGAGACAUGUUUCAAACAGAAGGAGCUGCCAUUCCAGUCCAGUGUGAAUAUGAAAAGAGGUACACGGUGAACAGCAGGGUCCUGAA